GCUCUGGGGGUUUUCAUAACAACCAUGUUAUUCAAUAUGUCUUGCUUUUGCUUAGCGUCUUCCUUUAUGAUGAAUUAAAAUAAUGUGCAGUGACAAAGUCUCUUAAUGUGGCCUGUAAGUCGCUGUGUGACUGGGUCUGGCUAGUGUGAAUUAAAUCCUUUCACAUCUUUAGAUGGGUUGCUGUUCACCUUUUUUUGGUCUCUCUCUCCCUUAUUUCAUGUGCUCUCUUUGAGCCAUAAGCUUCUUUUCCACCCCUACCCUUUUGGACACCAGUUGCAUGAGAGAAAUGGCAUGUUUCUGAAGUAAAAGCUGAACUAGUUGGUAGAGUCCUAACCAUUGUGAUGUUUGAACUGAAAUCUGUCUUUGCUACACAGGAAGAUAUAAUGUCCUCUGAUGGAAUUACACUGAAGGAACUGAAAGUCUACCGAUAGAGGAAGCCAUGAUUCUGUGUGCUUAAAGUACCUGAAUUCUUGGGUUUCAUAGUUAGAUGUGUAAAUCAAAUGACAUGUGUAUAUUUACUACAAGUUUCACUUCAAAAAGUCAGACAGAUGAUCCAACGGUAGCUGCACGGAUCUCAGGCUCAACAAACCUCAACAAAUCUCAAACCUCUACAAAUGAUUCAGAAUGCAUCAACACGACUGGUCUUCAACCAGUCCAAAAGAGCCCAUGUUACACCUCUCUUUAUCUCCUUGUACUAGCUACCGGUUGCGGCUCGCAUCAAGUUCAAGACAUUGAUGCUUGCAUAUAGAACAACCUCAGGCUCAGCACCUGCCUACUUCCACUCACUUCUACAGAUCUACAUCCCCUCCAGAAGUCUGAGAUCCGCUAGUGAGCGAUGAUUCAUGGUACCAUCACAGAGAGGCUCAAAAUCACUUUCCAGAACAUUCUCGUGCACCAUUCCUGGCUGGUGGUAUGAUCUUCCCACCCCUAUCCGGAAUGCGGAAUCCCUGACAAUUUUUAAGCGACAGCUGGAAACUUAUCUCUUUUGAUGCUACUUGACUUCAUCAUAAAAAAAAAGUCUUUCUCUUUAUUUAUUUAUUCUUUUUCUAGCUUGUACUUAUUGGAACAAUGUCUACAACUUGGUAUUACAAGCACUUUCUGUGUCUGUUUGCCUCUUUAAGAAGAAUCACUUUAUGUAUCCCCCAAUUGUAAGUCGCUUUGUAUAAAAGCAUCUGCAAAAUGACUAAAUGUAAAUGUGAUUACAGUCAGUGCUGUUUGGACAGAUAAAAAGAAAGCAAAAUGUCUGACUGUAUUGUUGACAACAGAGGGAGGUCACCAUUAAAUCACAAUUUUUUAAUUAAUGUUGAUGAUAAUGACCAAAGAAUAGCCUAAGGGCUUGCCUAAUAUUACUUUACCUUUAAAGCUGGUACUGCAAGUGAUUUUUGUGGAAUGGUGUGCAGAAAAUUAUCCAAAUUACCUGAAAGAUGUCAGUGAAAUAACUGCUCUGAGUUAUCAUGCAUAUCUGUGUAACAGACCCAGUCUCUGCAAACAAUAAAAUAAAAAUAAAAAAUCAGAUGGACACUGUUAGUUUUUGUUUGUUUUGUAGCACUAUCUGCUUGACAGUCAUUUUGGGUAUUUAUAGCUGACAGUCCAUAUAUGGAAAGGCUGAAACUAAGAGCGCUUGUGGCAUUUUUCUUGAGUUUGGAGGGAGCAAAUUGUUCACAAUUUCUCAUUUGUCAACAAUGGCUUGCAGAACCAAACAUCUUAAAAGGAAUAACAAGACAAAGAAAAAUAAAGAGACAAAGCUUCGAAAGAGUUUCAAAGCACUUGAAGAGUUUGCCUCACUUUAGCUUGAUAAGUACAAAUAUGU
Cyprinus carpio carpio is the source of this 1810-nucleotide long non-coding RNA. NCBI's taxonomy places the organism in Eukaryota, Metazoa, Chordata, Actinopteri, Cypriniformes, Cyprinidae. The record is from Ensembl.